CUUAACCGCGGAAGUGCCUUUGAAACUGUUGCUCUUGAGUCCCGGAGAGGUUGCCGGAAUUCGUGGUGUAGCGGUGAAAUGCGUAGAUAUCACGAGGAACACCAGAGGCGAAAGCGGGCAACUGGACGGGUACUGACACUGAGGCACGAAAGCGUGGGGAGCAAACAGGAUUAGAUACCCUGGUAGUCCGCGCCGUAAACGAUGAAUGCUCGCCGUUACCUCGUCAAGGGGUAGUGGCUAAGCUAACGCGUUAAGCAUUCCGCCUGGGGAGUACGAUCGCAAGGUUGAAACUCAAAGGAAUUGACGGGGGCCCGCACAAGCGGUGGAGCAUGUGGCUUAAUUCGAUGCAACGCGAAGAACCUUACCUAGGCUCGAACGCUAGACGACCGCUCCUGAAAGGGAGCUUUCCGCGAGGACGU
This 419-nucleotide ribosomal RNA is filed under the name uncultured Bacteroidota bacterium. Its description in RNAcentral is "bacterial SSU rRNA". It matches the Rfam family "Bacterial small subunit ribosomal RNA", at positions 608 to 1029 of the family's 1533-position model. The record is from RNAcentral. Lineage: Bacteria; Pseudomonadati; Bacteroidota.